Labeo rohita (rohu) is the source of this 275-nucleotide long non-coding RNA. RefSeq lists it as uncharacterized. The transcript has 3 exons. NCBI's taxonomy places the organism in Eukaryota, Metazoa, Chordata, Actinopteri, Cypriniformes, Cyprinidae. The record is from RefSeq and is a predicted model, not a curated record.
CACAAAACUGACGGAAGCGGCUGCGGUGGAGACUGGAUUUAAAGCUUUCAGUUGACAUACAGUUAAUUUCUCCGUCACUAAGAGCUCAUGGUGUGAGAGCCGAGUUCAGCAAAAGACCUCGAGGUGCGCCACAUGUAGCUCUGGGCUCUGCGUCUGUGGAUGCAAUUAUUGGCAAACAAGACUCACUACAUUAAACACAGUAACCCAAAUCUAUGAUACUGCAGGUUGGGAUAAUCAAAAACAAGGAUUAUGUUGAUUACCUUGCUUUAUCUUCU